AACAUAAUCAUGAGGGUAUCACAUAACUAUUCACCAUAUCAACAAUAAAUCAUAUCCACUGAGCAUGGCAUACUGACUAGCAUGACCAUCUCCAACAUCAACAUGUACUACUAGCAAGCAUAAACAUAUGAAAAGAAAGACUAGUAGGUAGAACAUGGUAAUAGAGUACAAGACAACAUAGCACAAAAGUGAACAUGCAAAUCUAAAUAUCACCGGAACAAUGAUAACCAUCUUUUCAACAAGCAAACAUUUAAUAAAGAUUCAAGUUGAAAACCAUGGCUACUGCAUGACUAUCAUGCAAGUGGAUAUUGUGGCUUACCUGGCGUGGAACAAAUCACCGGGAGAAAGUGCGAGAAACUCACGGAACGAAACGUUCUCUCUCGGAGGGGGCUGAAUAAGGGCAAGGGCAUAAUGGUCAUGUUCACAGUGUCAAACCAUAGUGAAAGCAUGACCAACAGAAUGGGCUCAACAAAACAAAGAAGUGAGCGUUGGAAUCACCUCAUUUGGAGCUACGGAUAAAAAGAUAUGGAUGUUUUUCUGCCACGGACCUAUCUGCAAUGAAAAGAUUUUCAAACAGGAGCCUGGACAGAAAAACAGAACGCGUAAAAGAGAAGUACACUUUUGGAAAGCAAAGACAUAAUCAGAGGAUUACUCCUCCACUUAUCCACGCCAGCGUACCUGGGUAAACGCGGGGCCGGCUCGUGUGUGGCUGACAGGUGGGUCCCACCUUAUCCACUCCCUCUCUCUCUCUCCUCUCCUCUCUUCUUCCUCUCUCCUUCUCCCGACGCUCGCCCCGGCAAAUCGGGCCACCUCCAGCGGAGCUUGGACCGCCAGAGUGCUCAGGACGGCGAGGCGCACCCGUCCCACCACCACACGAACAUCAGGGAGACUCGGGCAGGGCGGGACCAUGGCCGCGGCGGACGGGGCUUCGACGGAAGAUAGAGGACGAUGCCAUGGCGAUUCCGACGACUAACGGAGGGCUGCGGGAGAGGCUAUGGUGGUUGGGUGACCUACUAGAGGUGGAAGACAGAGGAGAGGGGCUUCGGUUCGCCGGAAUCCGAGUGGACAGGGGCGGCGGCCAUGGAGACAAUGGCGACCACAGAGAGCUCCUCGAGCACGAGGAGUUGGCUAGGCGGGGCUCGGGUAGUGAGGCAAGGCGGGAGAUGAGCUCGGACGAGGCCGAGGAUGGCUUAAAUAGCUGCGGGGAGGAGCUGCCGUGCUGGCACCGCUGCUGACGCGUGUCCGGCGCCGCGAACGCAUGCUCGCGCGCAUGGACUCAGAGGCAAACGAUGAGGGAGGCACAGGGGAGAGAUCACGAGGCAGAGGAGGCCAAGGGGGCGCAGGGAGGAAGACGACGGUGAUGAACGGAUCCAAAACUCCACUGUACGCUCAUGGGCACGUGACGGUUUGCGUCGGCGAGGAAGCUGCCGGAGGGGCAGAGGGGUCCAGGGGGACGGAGACGACACGGGCCAGCUGGAGGACACGCUCACGAGCGCGAAGACGACGAGAGGAGGAGGGGGUCCAGCACAAACAGCCACUAGACGUGGCCACUGCACACAGAGCGCGUGCAUAGGCACGCCAUUGUCGUGGUCACCGCGUGCACUGGCAUGAACAAGAGGCCAAGGGUUGGGAAACAUUGUCUAGUGGUAAGUUCCUCCAGGGUAGGUCUCAACUACGGUGGUAACUCGGUUAAAACUGCUAUGGUUAAAUGGUUACCACCCUCUGAAGUUUACUGCAGUAAACUUCAUCAGCUCAAUGUGGUCAAUAGGGAUAUGCUAUUGGCCAAAUAAGUUGUCUGGCGUGUUUAGCUAUGGAGGGACUAAGAUCCUGGAGGUUUUGAGGGGAAAUGGACCAAGUAUGAAUAUAGUUGCUUUGCAACUGCCAAAAUGGUCCAGAAAUGAAGAUUAUGAUGGUGCACUCACAUGGAGUGUCAACUUGGGCUAAUAUUGGGCAAAGCUUAGUCAUUUGGUCAUAUGAAGAUUCUCACCAAGUAUCAUACCAUUUGGCAAAGCCAAAAUCGUACUUGCUUCACCAACAUCUCUGCUGACCAGAAACUUGAAAUAAUAUUGGUGGUCAAAUGGAUCAAUGAAAUGAUUCCAAAUUGGUUGGAGAGAUGUUUUAUGGGUAUAAGAAUUAUCUGGUAAUUUAUCAGGAUUUCUGAAGCAAUAUAAAAUACACUUCCUUCACAACCUAAAAAUAAUGCCGGAAUCAAAGAUUUGCUCCUGUGCUCACAUAGAUAAUUUAUGGGGCUGAAAAUGGGUGGAGGGGGUUAAUAUGAGCACAUUAAGGAGUGUGCAAAAGUUCAACUCAUUUGGGUACUCCUAGCUUGUACUUCCUUCACAAAGCCUUCUGUUUGACAGAAACUUUGAAAAAUCACUGAGGAAGAUUGGCCAGGAAAAUAAAUUUGAACUUGUGCAUGAGGAAAUUAUUUGGACAUAUAAACAUGACCAAAAAGGUUGGUAGCCACUAGGAAAAAUAUAAAUGACACUUCCUUCACAAAGUGCCAUUCAGGGCAGAAAGGAAGAAUAAUUAUUGGGGAAUUAUUUUUGAACAUGGGAAUGAAAAGUUUUGCAAUAUUUGAUCAAGAUAUGACCCAAACAAUUUUAUGAGAAUUAUUUGGGAAUUUUUGGAGUGAUGUAAAUAUAGGUUGCUUCACAACCUAGGGCAAUUUGAGUUAUUCCUUUAAUAGAAAAGGAAUAUUCCCAAUAAAAAGAAUAUUGGGAUUUGGGCUAGGAUGGAAAUGACAGGGUCUAGGGAAAUAUUUGGGAAUGACAAGCCACUCUGGAAGCAAAGAAGAGGGCAUCUUCUUCAGUUUUCCAGACCACAAAGCCACGAAAAAGAAAAACUCACGCAAAAACCUCGGAAAAACAAAAGAAAAAGAAAGGGCCAAAAAUCAGGCUGUCACAAACCUUACCCCCUUAAAGAAAUCUUGACCUCGAGAUUUGGUUGCUCAGGGAACAAGUAUGAAUAUUCUGACUUAAGGAAACCGUUUCCAACUCGGGUAUCCUUUUUCCUUUAUUGUUGUUCCCACUAAAUUCUUAUCUGACUGGCCCUGGGGUAGUUUUAUUUACUGUAUCCUCCUCCUGACAGAUCUUACCUUGCUUGUUCAUGCUUAUAUAAGCUCCAAUUUCUUUUUAAAUCUGCUGACUAGCUGAGUGUGAUUUAAUUAUCACGACUGAAAUAUAUGUUCGUCUCACAAAUCCAAAAGUGAUUUCCGCUGGGUGUGCCACCCGGACUGACAACCUUUCAUGUAAUAAUGGUCAGAAUUUUCUGAUGAAAACUCAAGUUCUGACUCAUUGCAUUGGGUUUCUCCACUAAAUGCAGGUCCUUUGGGUUCCAAACAGUGAGUUAAAACAUAACUAUUUCCUGACAGAUUUUGACUCAUCACGGAAGUUUCUUAAUCAUCUUAACUGGUUCCACUGUCGUGAGUAUCGGAUCCGUACCAAAUAUUUGAUUGUCUCCUGUCGUGGCCAGCAUAAAGGGUUUGGUCUGUAUGAUAAUAUCUGCAGACUUCAGUGACGGUGGUUUUGAUGGAAAAUUUUUGUUCACGACAGGCUAUCCAUGAUGAUUCAUAUAAGUGAGGACUCGGGCUUCUAGACUGUUAUUCCUCAUGCCGAUUACUCAUUUUGUAGGCAUAUCCAUGUGGAUCAAUACUGACUUAGACUGUCCGGGGGAUCUGCACCAUGGGGGUCAUGUACAAUUUUCAUACCUGCCUCACUAGUCUUGCUCCUUCAUUAUUGUUUUCUUGGUAUGGAUCUUUGGCUGAAAGAGCUAGGCCAUAUUGUUUCUUUGUAUGACCAUAGGUACUGUCGGUGCAAUUUUUCGGCAAUUGUAGCUUAUCCUCAUUUUUUUGAUAAGGUAACCCAUUACAUGGCAGGUUCAACACCUCUCAUUUUCUGAUCGUUGGGAAAUGAUCAUCUGAAACCCUUGCAAGAAAUCGGCAAAUAAAUCAGUAGCCACCAGAACGGUCUUUACAACUCAGGUCUAGGACAUUACUAAAAUAACUCAACCACGGCUCAGGACGGCCGAAAAGCAGCUCAGAGCAUGAAACCGGGUUGAUAAGAAGAAGGUGGCAGCUCCCUAAAAUAGCCAAAAAGCAGCUAUAUGGCUACUGUCACAAAAAGAAACUCAAUAGCUGUACGAGACAGCCGAAAAGCAGCUCAGACUUGUGACAAUCGUUGAAGAGAGAAACAAAAAAUAGGCAUCCACCCCGGAUAGCUAGAAACAGCUCAGAUCACAGGCGUGGUGCCGUCAUUGGAGAAAAGGGGACAAGGGCUCAUCAGGAUCAUUUUCCAGUUCAGAAGUACUUGUAUGGAGCUCAUUGAUGUCGUCAAUCCUCAUAAUCCUUUGUCACACUGCGGUGUAUACUGGCUUUCUUCGAUUAACCAUCCUCACAUGGUUGUCAGAUCCUCAUCCAAGUAAUUUGUAAGCUCUUGAUGGUAUGCUUAUUGCAUAUAUAUAAGAAUUUGAUUCCGAGACAGAUGUGUAUUCUGACUGAUUCUUAAUUCUGACCAAAAUGUUGCGGAUCUGAUUCUUGGGAUUCACUGCCAAAUGUUGUCAAUUCACAGCGUACUACCUUGCACCAAUGUCUUACUGAGGAAUACUUGAUGGCUUGUGCUCGAAACUUUCAUCGGACAGCUUGCUGAAGAAGACUGGGUAUCGUACUUUAGAAGCUUGCCCCCUUAAAGACUUUGCUGGGGAAAGACUCAGUACCUUAUGCCGGAAGCUUUUGCGGUUGCUUACUGAAGAAGACAGGGUACCUUGCACGGGGAAUCAUCCAUGUAUCGUACUGAGGAAGAUAGAUGAAUCUUGCCUUGGAAGCUUCUCUGGUAUCUUGCGAGGGAAGAUUGGGUUGCUUACACCAUAAGCUUCUUAUUGUGAUAUGCGGACCGAUUUCCACAUAUAUAACCAUCUAAAUAUUUUUUCUAUUGAUUUCUUGCAUGAUACGGGGUUUGGCAGGACUAUUCUCCUUUCCGAGUAUAUGCCAUAUUUUUGUUUGCUUCCAGGUACAUCGAGUUCCGAAAUCAUCCUCAAUGAAAAAUUAAACUUGUAUCAGAGCCAUAGCUUUGAUAAUAUUCUGUCAACCUUGCACACAAUUUAUCUUAUUGCUAAUUUAAUCAUUUUAUUGUGAUGAGUGCACUCUAAUGCAAACUUGAUACUGACGGUCCAUCCAGGAUUUCUUUUGCAUCCAGACAAGAUAUUCCCAAAUUUCACUACAGUCAGCUGAUAAUUCCAUUAUGUUUAGCUGAGUUUCCAAAUAUAUGCAUUUCUUGCUGACUCUUUGGGUCCAGUGUCGGCUGACGAGCAACUUUAAUAAGGGAAAAAUUUGUAACACCGAAGGCCCAAAGAAAGGAACAACAGAAACGACUAAAACAAAAGCACACAAGCAUUCUACUAAUAUAAUUAAUCAAGCAAUCAUCACAUAUUACUGCUACUCACACAAUAAUAUGCAUGCCUACUUAAGCACACAAAUCUCGUGGGAUCUCCGGUUCUACGAUCUAGCAUGUUGUGACGAUGUGCACGAGGACGAAUAAAUGUGUGGAAGAAUUGGUGUAAACAGCACUACACCAAGUGCUAACUUAGCCAGGUGGCAACCUGAACUAGCUCGGAGGUAAGGACGUACUCGGUAAUCAUGCAGUAGGACACGAAGGUCGCAACCACAUCAUUAUCAAGCGGACGAAAAAAGAUCCGUACUCGUCCAAGAAAUAGGAUUGCGGGAAAAAACUGAGGCUGCUGACAUUGCCCUUUCUUGAUAACUAAGAUCAUUAAGGGUUGCCAACAUGACAAAAUAAAAGAAUGAUCUGGGAUAGACGCAUGUCCAUCACCGAAAUGAUAGGCAGGACUAAAGGAAAGACAUCAGUGCGAUAACUGAGCACCAUUUUUGCAAACAGUGUCGGGAUCACUUGGCAUCACUCUACUGGGACAGAAUUGACACCAAACACCGAAAGAAAAGGAACGGGAGAAAAGCAAAGGUUGAGUUGUAGUGGAUCCGAACCGAUGCCAGCUACAUUCACCAGAUAAACCGUUAGUACAAAUACUAAGGCUAUAUGCAUGCUAUGCAACAAACAAAUGCAGCAAUCAAGUGCAACAAACCAACUGGGGUCUAUACUACCGCUUUCUAACGUUCGCGCGGUCUAGGGCGUCCUACAGCCAGACCUGCUCUGAUACCAAGCCUGUGGCACCCCAGCUCAGAGAAAACCGGAACGCCCCGUAUUCCAGCCCAGAGAUCGAGAUGAAGUCUUCUGGAAUACGACACUGCUUAGCAUAGAACAAACCAGCUCUUUAUUACAAUUUGUUUGGGUACAAAGGUUACAUCGGCACGAUGACACUACGCCUGCCACUGUUGCUCUAUGCAAGCAGUAGAACAACACGAUGCAGCGGAAGAACUCUAGCAGCGGAACAACGACGACGGUGGUGAACUCCACUCCGCAGGGACUCUGGCUGGAAUGCUUAUCCUAGCUCGCACGAACGGAAACCACGACAAGCAAGCAAUCAAAUCUGGCAUGACCUGCAAACUGGCAUGACACGCCAGGUCAGUACAUUGAAUGUACAUGCAAACUCACAACAACCAGAAGCAUUCAAGACAGACAACAACACGGCAAUUAUAGGUUAAACAGGAAUUAACAUGAGAUCAUCAGUAUAACAUGGCAUGACCAACAUAAACAUGAUAUAGCUAGAACAAUAUGAACAUAUUAAUCCGACAAUACUAGCAUGCAACAUGAUGACACUAUCAUGCACUACUUAUUCUGCUCGGGUUACCUCGUAACCGACACAUGCAUCACUUACCAACCUCGGACAUCACACGAUCAUCUCAGGAUCAAAUCAAGCUUGGUAUAAACAAUACCGUAGCGAUCAGUAAAUGACCACAAGGAGCUUGAUCUUUACCCACGAUUCUCGCACAACAUCACGAAUAUCCAACAACUUGGUAUCCUCGAUACCACGGUGAUCCUUACGGCGAUCACAACAAACUUAUCUCAUCACCGAACCGGGGUUGUCAUUAAUCAAGUUAUUCUUAUUAUUGUUGACUCAUGGUGUACCCUACUUUCGAACUGGGCCCUUAUCCCCGGGCGCGGCUAUCAAUAGAUUUAAUAUACACUCUGUAGAGGUUAGAACACUAUACCGACACUACGGAACCCAUGGCCUCGCACUUCCAUUCGGGUGGAACAACGGCGUUCCGACAAAACCAUUCUACUGCCAUGACACUCUCCCGGCCGCUCAGACUCACUCCCCACUGGGCUAAGUCAUGGGUGGCCCCGUGUCUCCUCAAGACACCUCAAACCACCGUCGUGGCCCAAAACAAUAAACCGUCCCAAACAGGGACAUGUGCACAUAACAACAACAACGGGCACACAAGGCUUAUGCCCGCCUACCUGAUCAGGGUAGCGCGCGCCCAUAACCUUCCCUCGUUGGAGGCAUCGAUGAGAGGCGCGACAAUAGACCUAGUUAGGACCAUCCCAUACCGGUAAGCGUGGUUGCACUGGUCAGCAUCGUUUCAGCGGCACCAUGACUCAGCCAACAGUUGUUCAAGUUCAAUUUAUUCCGGUUAACUUGAAUGCAAAUAUGCUAAGCCAUGAUAAAAUGCAUGAACAUGAUAUCAACAUAUCAUGAAGGUAUCACAUAACUAUUCACCAUAUCAACAAUAAAUCUUAUCCACUGAGCAUGGCAUACUGACUAGCAUGAUUAUCUCCAACAUCAACAUGUACUACUAACAAGCAUAAACAUAUGAAAAGAAAUACUAGCAGGUAGAACAUGAUAACAAAGUACAAGACAACAUAGCACAAAAGUGAACAUGCAAAUCUAAACAUCAC
This 7808-nucleotide long non-coding RNA is filed under the name Triticum aestivum (bread wheat). Its description in RNAcentral is "long non-coding RNA (TAES_LNC007508)". Lineage: Eukaryota; Viridiplantae; Streptophyta; Magnoliopsida; Poales; Poaceae. The record is from RNAcentral.